AUUCUGCCCAUACAGGGAAGGAUGAGAAGCUUCGAUCCAAGGUUCGACUCGAGCGCCAGCGAGAGAGCGUUGCCGCAGGCAACGACCCGCAGCGCUGAGUAAUCCUUCCCCCACCACCC
Molecule: small RNA, 119 nt
Filed under: Escherichia coli
Lineage: Bacteria; Pseudomonadati; Pseudomonadota; Gammaproteobacteria; Enterobacterales; Enterobacteriaceae
Description: RtT sRNA
Rfam family: RtT RNA
About the family: This family represents a bacterial cis-regulatory element known as RtT RNA. The exact function of RtT is unknown although it is thought that it may be involved in changing the cellular response in relation to amino acid starvation.
Source: RNAcentral